Molecule: long non-coding RNA, 1233 nt
Filed under: Homo sapiens (human)
Lineage: Eukaryota; Metazoa; Chordata; Mammalia; Primates; Hominidae
Description: non-protein coding lnc-SELENON-2:4
Source: RNAcentral
CAGACCCACACACCCACACUCCCCUCACAUACAUCCACACUCCCCUCACACACACGCAUUACACACUCCCCUCACGUACAUCCACACUCCCCUCACACACACUACACACACAUUACAUACACUCCCCCCACACACUCCCCUCACAUACAUUCACACUCCCCUCAUACACACACAUUACACACUCCCCCACACAGACCCACACACCCACACUCCCCUCACAUACAUCCACACUCCCCUCACACACACCACACACACAUUACAUACACUCCCCCACACACACAGACCCACACACCCACACUCCCCUCACAUACAUCCACACUCCCCUCACACACACACACACUCCCCCCCACACACAGACCCACACACCCCUCACAUACAUCCACGCUCCCUUAACACACACACACUACAUACACUCCCCCUACAUACACUCCCCUCACACACCCACAGUCCCCUCACAUACAUCCACACUCCCCUCACACAUACACACAUUACACACACUCCCCUCACACACAUCCACACUCCCCUCACACACAUCCACACUCCCCUCACACACACCACACACACAUUACAUACACUCUCCCUACACACACUCCCCUCACACACACCACACACAUAUUACACACACUUUCCUCACAUACACACUCCCCUUACACACUACACACACACACUUCCCCUACACACACCCCCACACUACACACACUCCCCUCACAUAUACAUACACUACACACUCCCCUCAGGCACACACACUACACACCACCCACACUCCCACACACACUACACACCACCCACACUCCCACACACACACCUAUCACCCACACUCCCUCCCACACACACACCACACACUCCCUUCACACACUACACACUCCCCUCACACAUUCCACACACACACCCCACACAUUACACACACUCGCCUCAUGCACACACCCCACACACUACACAUAGUCCCCUCAUACACUACACACCACACUCCUUGACACACACACACUCUCCCUACACACACAUCCACACACCCAUACCCCUCAGCACACACACACGCCCCCAUACACCUACAUACACCACACACAUUCAUUCACCACACAUACACACUCACCCCACACCCCAUACAUACAUACACACACACACACACACAAGCUGUAAAGCAGUGGGACUUUCACAUGUGAGAUGCCCACAUAAGUGCCCCUGAGAGGCAGCUGCAUCUCAACACCGCGGACCCUAAUGACCUGGCUCCCUCCC